Molecule: ribosomal RNA, 601 nt
Filed under: uncultured bacterium
Lineage: Bacteria
Description: bacterial SSU rRNA
Rfam family: Bacterial small subunit ribosomal RNA
Source: RNAcentral
AAGGCAACGAUGCAUAGCCACCUGAGAGGGUGAUCGGCCACAUUGGGACUGAGACACGGCCCAAACUCCUACGGGAGGCAACAGUACGGAAUCUUCCACAAUGGACUAAAGUCUGAUGGAGCAACGCCGCGUGAGUGAUGAAGGUUUUCGGAUCGUAAAACUCUGUUGUAAGGGAAGAACAAGUGCGUUAGGUAAUGAACGCACCUUGACGGUACCUUAUUAUAAAGCCACGGCUAACUACGUGCCAGCAGCCGCGGUAAUACGUAGGUGGCAAGCGUUGUCCGGAUUUAUUGGGCGUAAAGCGCGCGCAGGUGGUUUCUUAAGUCUGAUGUGAAAGCCCACGGCUCAACCGUGGAGGGUCAUUGGAAACUGGGAGACUUGAGUGCAGAAGAGGAUAGUGGAAUUCCAAGUGUAGCGGUGAAAUGCGUAGAGAUUUGGAGGAACACCAGUGGCGAAGGCGACUGUCUGGUCUGUAACUGACACUGAGGCGCGAAAGCGUGGGGAGCAAACAGGAUUAGAUACCCUGGUAGUCCACGCCGUAAACGAUGAGUGCUAAGUGUUAGGGGGUUUCCGCCCCUUAUUGCUGCAGCUAACGCAUUAA